GGAGGUAAAAGAUCAGAGAUAUCAAAGAAAUCACAAAAUCUCUGAGCAACGGAUCAACAAUCAACCCAACUGGAGUACAGAAAGUCACAACAGGUGUCGCAACCUGAAAAAUACAGUGUGCGAAAAAACAACCGGGGAAAGAAAAUGACAGAAGAGUCGCCACCGUGCGUUAUUUAUCCCAAGGGAGGGAAAGGAAACGCUCGAAGUAAACCUGAAAAAGGAAAGGACAAGACGGGGUCUCGC
This 243-nucleotide long non-coding RNA is filed under the name Lathyrus oleraceus (garden pea). Its description in RNAcentral is "Pisum sativum (pea) long non-coding RNA (PSAT_LNC033692)". The record is from RNAcentral. Lineage: Eukaryota; Viridiplantae; Streptophyta; Magnoliopsida; Fabales; Fabaceae.